GACGAACGCUGGCGGCGUGCUUAACACAUGCAAGUCGAACGGUAAGGCCCCUUCGGGGGUCCACGAGUGGCGAACGGGUGAGUAACACGUGAGCAACCUGCCCUUGACUCUGGAAUAACAGUUGGAAACAGCUGCUAAUACUGGAUAUUCAUCGUCUCCUUCCUGGGGGGUGGUGGAAAGCUCCGGCGGUCAGGGAUGGGCUCGCGGCCUAUCAGCUUGUUGGUGAGGUAAUGGCUCACCAAGGCUUCGACGGGUAGCCGGCCUGAGAGGGCGACCGGCCACACUGGGACUGAGAUACGGCCCAGACUCCUACGGGAGGCAGCAGUGGGGAAUAUUGCACAAUGGGCGCAAGCCUGAUGCAGCAACGCCGCGUGCGGGAUGACGGCCUUCGGGUUGUAAACCGCUUUCAGUAGGGACGAAGGGUGACUGACGGUACCUACAAAAGAAGGACCGGCUAACUACGUG
Molecule: ribosomal RNA, 465 nt
Filed under: uncultured bacterium
Lineage: Bacteria
Description: partial 16S ribosomal RNA
Rfam family: Bacterial small subunit ribosomal RNA
Source: RNAcentral